This 700-nucleotide ribosomal RNA is filed under the name Enterobacter hormaechei. RNAcentral describes it as "bacterial SSU rRNA". It matches the Rfam family "Bacterial small subunit ribosomal RNA", at positions 48 to 737 of the family's 1533-position model. Lineage: Bacteria; Pseudomonadati; Pseudomonadota; Gammaproteobacteria; Enterobacterales; Enterobacteriaceae. The record is from RNAcentral.
CUUACACAUGCAAGUCGAACGGUAACAGGAAGCAGCUUGCUGCUUCGCUGACGAGUGGCGGACGGGUGAGUAAUGUCUGGGAAACUGCCUGAUGGAGGGGGAUAACUACUGGAAACGGUAGCUAAUACCGCAUAACGUCGCAAGACCAAAGAGGGGGACCUUCGGGCCUCUUGCCAUCGGAUGUGCCCAGAUGGGAUUAGCUAGUAGGUGGGGUAACGGCUCACCUAGGCGACGAUCCCUAGCUGGUCUGAGAGGAUGACCAGCCACACUGGAACUGAGACACGGUCCAGACUCCUACGGGAGGCAGCAGUGGGGAAUAUUGCACAAUGGGCGCAAGCCUGAUGCAGCCAUGCCGCGUGUAUGAAGAAGGCCUUCGGGUUGUAAAGUACUUUCAGCGGGGAGGAAGGCGAUAAGGUUAAUAACCUUGUCGAUUGACGUUACCCGCAGAAGAAGCACCGGCUAACUCCGUGCCAGCAGCCGCGGUAAUACGGAGGGUGCAAGCGUUAAUCGGAAUUACUGGGCGUAAAGCGCACGCAGGCGGUCUGUCAAGUCGGAUGUGAAAUCCCCGGGCUCAACCUGGGAACUGCAUUCGAAACUGGCAGGCUAGAGUCUUGUAGAGGGGGGUAGAAUUCCAGGUGUAGCGGUGAAAUGCGUAGAGAUCUGGAGGAAUACCGGUGGCGAAGGCGGCCCCCUGGACAAA